GAUGAACGCUGGCGGCGUGCCUAAUACAUGCAAGUCGAGCGAACGGACGAGAAGCUUGCUUCUCUGAUGUUAGCGGCGGACGGGUGAGUAACACGUGGAUAACCUACCUAUAAGACUGGGAUAACUUCGGGAAACCGGAGUUAAUACCGGAUGAUAUUUUGAACCGCAUGGUUCAAAAGUGAAAGACGGUCUUGCUGUCACUUAUAGAUGGAUCCGCGCUGCAUUAGCUAGUUGGUAAGGUAACGGCUUACCAAGGCAACGAUGCAUAGCCGACCUGAGAGGGUGAUCGGCCACACUGGAACUGAGACACGGUCCAGACUCCUACGGGAGGCAGCAGUAGGGAAUCUUCCGCAAUGGGCGAAAGCCUGACGGAGCAACGCCGCGUGAGUGAUGAAGGUCUUCGGAUCGUAAAACUCUGUUAUUAGGGAAGAACAUAUGUGUAAGUAACUGUGCACAUCUUGACGGUACCUAAUCAGAAAGCCACGGCUAACUACGUG
This 497-nucleotide ribosomal RNA is filed under the name uncultured bacterium. Its description in RNAcentral is "partial 16S ribosomal RNA". It matches the Rfam family "Bacterial small subunit ribosomal RNA", at positions 28 to 507 of the family's 1533-position model. The record is from RNAcentral.